CCCACCAGGAACACUGAUGACCUCUAAAAAGAUCCAGAGGAGGCAUUCAUCCCGCCAGGAGUAGAACGAACGGUAUUCGUCCCGAAAAGGAGAUUCACAGAGGGAAACCACCUUCCAGCCCGACACCGAAAAAAAAAAAAAAAAGGAAAAAAACGGGGAAAAAAACCAUCCCAAAAACCUGCUGACCCAGAUGUUGUAAGAAGUUCACUAAAUGUGUGAGCAGGAACAGACUGACUCCAUCAACGGCUCUCUCCAUGUUUAGAGGCAUGACUGCUUGAAGCAAUUAGGCUCCCCAAUUAGCAUACUCCUCCUGACCCCAGCAGCACCACCAGGUCCUUGCGUUAUCCAUCUCUUCAAAGCAGGCCCUUAGGGUACCACCAGGUGACUUAUAAACACCGUCUGAGGCUUUCAAAUCCAAGCUCCCUCCCACUCGACAUCCCGGCUGCAGGGGUUUCCAGAAAAGGUGACGGCAGGAGUGAGGUAGGAUGUGAUCCUUCCCAGCCCCUUUUCCACCCACAGCCAAGGCCCUUCGUCUCCGUGGGCACCCGGAUCCCAGUGCAUCCCCACCCCAGCCGUGCAUCCGCCCUACAGAGCUGAAAAUGUGUGUCAGGAUGUAUGCGGCUGGUGUCCGAGGGGCCCGAUCCUGCAAAACCCACGGGGCGGCUGGCUUCGGGGAGCCUCUCCUCCUUCCCUGUCUAGAGAAGUCGGUAUCAGCCACCUGCCCAUCACGGAUAAAGAGCCUAAUUCCAUCCCGCAGCCUUCCUGGAAGCCCACAGAGGGGAUCCACGGAGUCAGUGUGCAGCAGAUAGAGUCAUCCACCCUGAGCGUCACAGCACUACGGAAGAAAAAUCUCUAUAAAACGAAAUAGGCAAUCAACUGAAAUCUAUCCUCUUUAAAUAAACUGAUUCCUUAGUAUUUUCCCAGUGUUGCUGUAAGUUGUUGUCUGUGAUGUCCCCCAGGGCUCUUUCCUCUGCUCUCUGAUUUGGUGUAUAAAAGCAGCUCUGAAUGAUGGAUUACUGUGUCAUUGCAGCCUGCGAAGGAUUAAUUUGUUUCAUUGAUUUCUCUUUAGGCAGAUUGCCAGAAUUCUCUGCUUCCCACCUUUCCGUGGGACUUCCAGCAGUAAUAGACAGUAAUAGCCUAAGACAAAUCAGCCCGUUCUUGUAAAAAUAGAAACCCCAAAUCCUGAAGUCCCAGGAAAGCCAUAAAGAAGGUUUUUGUGUAUUGUGCUGAGAAACACCAAUUCUUAGAGUGAGCCCAUCUUCUCUCCUCUCCCCUCUCCCCUUUUACAGAAAAGGUCGCAGGGUGAUAGGAUGGGGGCUGUUUAGCCUCAAGAGCAAUUUCAACAAGCAGUUGCACGAGAACAGCGGGCAUUUGGCAGUUGCAGAAAAAUGUUUUGUUCAAGCUAAAAAAAGGGGUAGGAAUCACAGAAGGACUGAGUAAACCUCACAGUUCAUUCUUUCUUAAAACCACUGGGCUCCCUAUGGCUAAUCUAUUAUUGAUCCAUCUGCCUGUCUGGGGUAUUGAGAAGAUAUGCAGCUUAUAUCAGGUCCUGGAGUCACCGGUCUGAUGACCGGUGGGUGUGACUGGACUCUCCCAGAUCAAUUUGCCUGCGUGCUUUCAGGAUAAUCUGAUUGAAAAAUCAGGCCUUGAAGCCCUGGGAUGUGGAGGAGAAAGGGAGCCUGGCACCCUUUCCAGUGCAGGUUGUGGGAGAGCAAGGGGAGGAGAGGGGAGCCCACGCCGCGUGCAGCCCACUGCUACUAUUCUGACCACAGCACUGCUCUUUUCAGACCCACUUUACCCACAGCAGGCAUGGGUCAGCUAUGCUAAUCUAUUUGUUUCUACAACGUAACACUAAAAAUUGUGUUGAUUUAGCAUUCUCAAGUUAAAUUUUAGGUGUAAUUAGUCCUAUAGUAAAGAGCAUUGUAGUCAUCUGCUAAUGUCAUUCCAGCUCAGGCUUGUGUAAAGCUAUGCGGUGCCGAAACAGCACUUUUAGAUAGCAUGGAGGGUGGAGAAGCAUUUAUUUCACCUCUGUAUCUGCCUUGUGAUGAGAGUAACUCAAUAGGUAUGUUCAAGGGGGUGGUAAAUUUAUCAUACUGGGUAGCACAGUUCCACUGCAUUGUGAAGGAAAUCCUAUGAAAACCUGAAGUUACAGACCUCUCUUUUUUUUUUUUUCCCACUCCUGCUCUCCAGGAAGAUGUUAGCCUGCUACUUCCAAUUUUUAUUUACUGUAGUUUCAGGUCAAAUCCAAAUACCAGUACUUGGGUCACAGCAUGAUUUCCUUGAUAUCUUGCCAGAAAUCAUGGCUUGCCAUGCCUGAGCAAUGUUCUUGUGUUUACUUGCAUGAGACUUCGCCUCGAUGUGUAGAGUCUGACUUUUCCCUUCACCAUCUACCGUAGUUUCUGAAGGCACUGUAGCAGUAGUCAUAAAGGGGGUUAUGUGUUUGCUCCUGGGAAUCCCUAGAAAUGCCUACAUUGUCUGGGGAAACCCUGCAGUGUGGGUUAGCCUGCAGUAAGACAAGGGUGGCUGCCUCCAGGCUCGGCAGCCUGGAAAAUGGUGGUGUCCUGGGGAAUGCUGCAAGCUUCCCUUCAAAGGCUUCUCUGGUGUAAGAGCGACCCCCCUUUUCUGGCAUAAGACAGGAGCACUCUGCCUGGCAUUCCCGCUCCUGAUGGUUUUUCACUGUCAAGCGACUUUGAAAGGAAAGGCACAAAAUGCAGCAGUUCACAUUUUUCCUGCUCAGCCCAGGCCCCAGGGAAGCUUGGCUCUGAACACAGGGCUUGUCUUGCUUGGGUGCAAACCAUCCCCUCUGCCCCUUCCUCCUCACUGAUCCUUUUUUUGGCUCACACAGGGAAAUGCUUCUGCUCCUUUGAUAGGCAUUAAGGAAAGUUUUGCUCUUGGUAAAUAAUGAUAACAAUAUUCUUGGCUUGGAAAGUCUGAGUUAGGAGUGGAGACAGAUUUCCACCCCCAUCCCUCCCAUUUUCAAUAAAACAGGCAGAAUCUAUCACAGACCAAACUUAAAAAGCUUAAGUGGAGCUCACAUCCUUUCAUCCCUGCAGGACUGCAGAGAAACAGAGUCUGUUAGAUUAGCAAACAUUAACCUCUCGCAUAGUUCUGGAUGUAGGAUUAAUGUCUACUGAAGGGACAGCUGUAUGACCCUCACACAUACACUAACUAUACAUUAGGGCUGUCACUCUAUCGAUUGGGAGAAGUUUGUGUGAAGAAGCACUCCCCACCAGGGAGCAAAACAGACUAGAGCUGGAAAAAGCUAUUUGUGCUCUGCUAAGACAUAGUUUUAAGAACUCGGUUCCUGUUUCUGGCAUCCACAGUGCAGACAAGCUGAAAUCUGCAUGCUCCACCUCGAGGUUCUGCCACACACAGACCACACACAAUUUCCAGCUGUGACCCCGAGAUCAGCUCGUCUUUGGGCAAAACACAGACCUGUGCCAAUGCUGGAUCUGUAUAUAGAGCACUGCUUAGAUUCUGCCUACAUGAGGUUUUGAGUCCCCAUGGGAUUCUCACUGGCUGUACAUUAGCGUAUCUAUCCCCAUUUAGCUAAUUUGGAGGACACUUCUCUCGAAGAUUGUUGUUCCUUAUCAAUGUAUCUAAGAAAAAGAAGGAAUAGCGGUGAAUAAUGUGUUUGUCACACAUUCCUCCCAUUAAAAUAUGAAAACUCCAAGGUAUGAAAACUUCAAGGUAUGAAAACACAGGUUGAUUGUUUCCUAGGGUUUGCUGGAUUAGGUACAAACACUAGGCUUGUCUCUGGUCACACCCUAUUUUUAUGUUAGUCUAACUCUUCUCAUAACACAGGAAUUCCACAGAUGUAACAGCGGGUUCAGUACAUUUCUGAAAACAGACUUAUUAUAGCUAUUUAAAUGAAAAUAAAUGCUUAUUGUUUAAGCUUGUAUAUCAAACAUUAAUGGUUUCUUGGAGUCCAAUCCACACAAAUAUUUGGAUGUCAAAUAUUGAACUUUCCAGCCCUUGAUUAUAGGAGAAAUGGCUGUAUUCUGGGCUCCCAAGCAUCCCAGAGGAAGAAACGGGAGAGGCACAUCCACCAGUGCAAACUUGGUCAGUGUGCCUCGCAGUCUGUCCCUAACAGGGACACUGCUCAGCAGUGUGGCCCAUGCAGGGCCUUCAGCCAUCACUAGGUGCCUGCUGAAGGCAUCUGGAUGGAAAGAAAGCAUGCAAUGAGAUCGAGCUGGUGCCUUUUUAGCCAAGCUUGCUGUGUUUGGGGCACAUAAUGAGAAGAUGAGAUAUCCGAGACAAGACUGCAGGCAGAUGUGUCCCGUACAGUUGGUUGUACCCAGUCCAUGUUAGUACACGGAACAGAACAGAGCUGUGCUCUAUCAAAAGCGUUAAACUUUGGUUAAUUGUCAUAGAAUCACAGAAUUAUAGAAUGUUUUGGGUUGGAAAGGACCUCAGAGCUCAUCCAGUCUCACCUACGCUGCCCUGGGCAGGGGCACAUUCCACUGGAUCAGAGCCUGAAAGCCCCAUCCACCCUGGCUUUGAACACCUCCAGGGACGGGGCAGCCACCACUUCUCUACGCAACCUGGGCCAGGAACUCACAACCCUCACAGGAAAACAUUUCUUCCUGAUAUCCCAUCUAAAUCAAACCCCUUUUAGCUUAAAACAGUUCCCCCUCAUCCUAUCUCUGCACUCCCCGGUAAAGAGCCCCCCAAGCUUUCCUGGAGUUCCUUUCAGUACUGGAAGCUGCUCUAAAGUCUCUCUGAUGCCUUCUCUUCUCCAGGCUAAACAGCCCCAACUCUCUCAGCCUGUCAAAGUCUGAAUGGUCUCAUACGCAAAGUUUCGGAUGCCAGUUUAUCUUGGAGGGCUGCAGUAAGUUCUGCAUUCAUGUUCUUCUUCUGGAAUGGCACAGGCAGACUCCAGACCAGCUGCUGAGAGCUGAGGCAGUGUGGUAGAUCUGAGCUGCCAGGAGAUUUCUUUGGUGGGUACGGGGAUUAGGCAAAGUGGACCCCAGUCCCUUUGGGUAGAGGAAAUAGUUAAGCCACAAUUUGCAUCAACAAAGCUGAAAGGUCCCAAAAUGGCCCAAACCUGGUCCCUACAUGGUACCCGCCAGAGAAGAGAGUUGGUGACAUCCCAGAUGCAUGAAUUCAGGCUCAGCUUGAAAGGAUGAACUUGAGACCAGGAUGAACUUGAAACGCCAGCAUCUGACAUGAACAUUGCAGACUAGCGGUGCUUCCAAAGAAGCUACAGGCAUGAAUGCUGCUCAGUCCAGUGGUGGGGCAAAGCAGUCUCCUCUGAUGGGCACAGUGGGGAUUCGUGUCCUGCUAAGCCUAGAUCUGUCUCUUUAUAUUUUUUGUAUAAGACAAUUACUAGGCCCUGGCCCUGACUUCUGGAUAUUAUUAAAGGGAAGAUCCUGACUGUAAAGGUAAACAUUCAGUCAGACCUCUGCCAUGGUUUAUUUUUGGUGUGUUCAGCAGCAGGGACUAACUUUUUUUUUUGUUUCCGAGGGCCAUGCAUUUGUAGCUGUAUGUGUGGACAGGCAGUGAGCUACUGGUAUGUGAAAGCUGUGGAGACUUGCAAUGCCUCACACGAGGAGAUGGAGAUCGUCGACUCAUCUUGAAGUCAAUUAACUCAAAUGGCCAGGUGAAACAUUAGGAAAAAAUUGCUACAUCGAGGUACGCCAAAACUGGGCACCACGACUUCUCCAGAAACAUAUUUUCCUUUGAUUUUCCCAUUGAGACGUGAGGAUAACACAGCUGGUGUGUUGUGGGUCUCUUGAAAGUCUGCUGACAGUUAAUUGCAACUUUCCCAGUAGCUUAUUUGUUUAUAAAUUAGCUAGAAAUAUGAGGUUACUUAAUGUGAGAAAUGGCAUUCAAGUGGUUAACACUCACGCACUUCCGAACAGUAUUUGGAAAGGAAGUAUGGUCUCUUGCCCAUCCAUUAACCUCUGUUAUUAUGGGGCUUUUAUACUGGUAGCAGUAAAAUCCACCUCCCUGCUGCAAGUGUUGCUGUAUCAAAGAUCAAAGUUCUCUAGUUUGCAAAAACAUGGCAAGUAUAGCAUAAUUAAAUCUAUUUAUUUAGUUAGAAGUCUGUGUUUAAUGAAUAACAAAUUUCUGCUUGUCCACAAAUGGCAUGAAUGAAAACACCAAAUGAAUGAGCAGCAAAUUCUUGCAUCAGAUUUUACAGACAUCACUGUAUUUAAUGAUUCUUCAAUUUUUUUCAAGUGAGUAAAAAGUUAAAAGUUUGUGCUUACCUCAUUAGUGCCCCAUUACUACUACCACAGGCAACGUAUUAAAAAUGAUGGGAUCCUGCAAGAUUCCAGUGCUUUACAUAGCUGUUAAAAUUAGCUGCACCUUUAAUUUUUUUCAAUUUACACGUUAUACAGUUCUAGCUCUAAGCAGCUUUUCAUCAUUACUGUAUUCCAGGACAUCAAGACCAUCUCUAGUAAAUCAUAUCCAUGUGCUGGUGCAGAUCACGUCUGGGGAAAGGAGUCAUGGUGGUCUCAUCCCCA
Molecule: long non-coding RNA, 6470 nt
Organism: Cuculus canorus (common cuckoo)
Lineage: Eukaryota; Metazoa; Chordata; Aves; Cuculiformes; Cuculidae
Exons: 3
Source: RefSeq, a predicted model, not a curated record